Physeter macrocephalus (sperm whale) is the source of this 1961-nucleotide long non-coding RNA. RefSeq lists it as uncharacterized. The transcript has 3 exons. The record is from RefSeq and is a predicted model, not a curated record. Lineage: Eukaryota; Metazoa; Chordata; Mammalia; Artiodactyla; Physeteridae.
CGGGUUAAUCUCCAUCGGCUUGAGCUGCAUCUUCGCGAAGAACGGCAGGAAGCACAAGCCAGAGAAGAGGAAAAACAGAGAGCGGAGCCGCCCAGGCUGCAGCUAUAAAGCACCGGCCUGACGCACUAUGGGUGCUUGCGCAGGGGGAGCAGAGGCAAAACCAAGCGAGGAGAAACGGACCACUGACCCAGUGCAGAAGGGCCUUAAAAGCUAAGGAGCUGUCUCCUUCAGGACCGAGGAUGGCUUCAGUUCCAGGGAUGCUACAGGGGAAUCCAGCGGCCAUGUCCCAUGUCAUGAAGAUACUCAGGCUGCUCACGUGAGGAGGAACUGAAGUCUCUGGCCAACUUCCAGGUAGACACUGAGGACUGCCAAAAAUCACGUGAUCAAGUGUGGAAGCAGAUUUUCCCCAGUCCAGCUUUCAGAUGACUGCAGUCCCAGCUAACAGCUUGACUGUGAUCUCAUGAGAGAAUCCAGCUAAGACGCACCCAGAUGCUUUCCCCAAAGAAGUGGUGAGACAAUAAAUGUUUGUGAUUUUCAGCUGCAAGGGGUAAUUUGUUACACAGCAAUUCAUAACUAAAACAGAUAUUGGUACCUGGAAAUGGGGUGCUGCUAUAAUAAAAACUUAAAAUGUGGGAGAGGCUUUUUAAAGAAAUUGUUUUAAGUCCUUUACCUUUCUAUAUAAAUUUCCUAUUUGCUUGUCAAUUUCUUCUUCUUUUUUAAAAAAUUUAUUUAGGCUGAACUGGGUCUUAGUUGCGGUGUGUGGGAUAUUUGGUUGCGGCAUGUGAACUCUUAGUUGCGUCAUGCAUGAGGGAUCUAGUUCCCCGACCAGGGAUCAAUCCCAGGCCCCCUGCGUUGGGAGUGCGAAGUCUUACCCACUAGACCACUAGGGAAGGCCCUUGUCAAUUUCUUUAUAUAAGUAUGCUAGGAUUUUGGCUGGGAUUGCAUUGAAUCUAUAGAACAACAUAGGGGCCAUUGCCACCUUACCAAAUUGAUUCCUCCAAUCCACAAAUAUGGUAUAUCUCUUCAUUUAAUUAUAAGGUUUUCUUUAACUUUUCUUUGCAAUAUUUUGUAGUUUUAGGUAUAUAGCUUUUACACAUCUCUCAUCAUUUUUAUUCCUGAUAUUUUUAUGCUAUUAUAAAUGUUUUUAAAACUUUCAAUCAUCACCAGUAAAUAGAAAUACAAUUUUUUUGAUGCUACCAUAAUUUUUAAAAAAUUUCAGUUGUUGGGCUUCCCUGGUGGCACAGUGGUUGAGAGUCCGCCUGCCGAUGCAGGGGGCGCGGGUUCGUGCCCCGGUCCGGGAGGAUCCCAUGUGCCGCGGAGCGGCUGGGCCCGUAAGCCAUGGCCGCUAGGCCUUCGCGUCCGGAGCCUGUGCUCUGCAACGGGAGAGGCCGCGGCAGUGAGGGGCCCAUGUACCGCAAAAAAAAAAAAAAAAAAAAAUUUCAGUUGUUCAUUGCUUGUAAAUAGAAAUUCAGUUUCUGUGUGUGUGAGCAUUGGCCUUGUAUCCUGUGACCCUUUUACAUUUCCUUUUUGGUUCUAGUAGCUUCAUUAUAGAUUCAAUUGGAUUAGCUAUAUAAAUCAUCAUAUCAUUUGAAAAUAAAGACAGUUUUACUUCUUUCUAAUCUGAAUUCCUUUAAUAUGUUUAACACAUACAAACACACACACAGGUACAACAACAUGUGUAUGUGCAGCUGGAUGGAAUUUGCUAAAAUUUUGUUAAGAGAUUUUAUACCUAUAUUCUGUGUAGUUCUCUUUUCUUGUCUGUGUUUAUCUGGUUUGGUAUCAGAAUGAUUCUGGCUUCAUAAAAUGAGUUAGGAAGUUUUUCCUCCUUUUCUAUUUUAUGAAAAAGUUUAUUUAGAAGGUUUACUAUUUCUUCUUUUAAAGUUUCAUAAAAUUCAUUAGUGGCUUGAAGUUUUCAAUUUCUUUAAUGUAUAUAGGGCUUUUCAAGUUUUCUUUUUCCUCUU